This is a non-coding RNA of Salvelinus sp. IW2-2015, 751 nucleotides long. NCBI's taxonomy places the organism in Eukaryota, Metazoa, Chordata, Actinopteri, Salmoniformes, Salmonidae. The record is from RefSeq and is a predicted model, not a curated record.
CAGGRCCCAGGCUUCUACCACUGGGGGAUUUGAAGACUGAAGWCCUGUGUCACAGCAGAGUUCUGCUGGGGACAGUGGAGAGUGUGUCCGUGAAGAUGAACGAGCGGUCCAUCGUGAUGGUAAACGCCUGGUCUUUGCUGGCCUCACGUGGCCAWGUCAACGCCCUGCCUUCSCCUCACUACGUCACAUUACCCGACCACUGCAGCKCCCCUGAACUGGUGCCRGGCAACACUUACAUCUGGGUGRAAAUGCCUUCCUCAGACACCAUAAGAUUCAUCUCUGAUCUCAGCGAUCAUUCYUCCCCUGUUCAUUCCAUCCUYUCCAGGUGCYCAACCUUUAUCUAKCCCAGAGGAAAGAAGGCYAACCCUCUCAACAGAAUAUGAAUUCUGGGUAUUUCCAUAGRCUAUUGUUCAGAAAUCUGUUWWGUUAACUGACGAUAAGCUUAAAACUAGCAUCUUYAUGAUCUCUCAUGARCCAUAUCUCAGGAUAAGUCAUAUUUUGUCUGUCUCGGUAGUGGUUUUCUGUAAUAUUAUCACAAAAGACUGACUACAUGUUUUGUUGCAUUCUGUAAUUGGUGCAUCCMUUUUUGGAUUUAKAAUUCAUUUACAUCUACAUAKUGUUUAUUAAAAAAUAUAUAAUUYGUCUCAUGGGUUUAGUUCAACUGUCGUACACCAUCAGAACCCAAAAUAAGCGUGUUUUACUCUGUAAACAAUGUAUACUGAACAAAAAUAUAAACAACCAUUUCAAAGAU